This 104-nucleotide transfer RNA is filed under the name Sporisorium scitamineum. RNAcentral's name for it is "transfer RNA-Leu(AAG)". It matches the Rfam family "tRNA". From Rfam's summary of the family: Transfer RNA (tRNA) molecules are approximately 80 nucleotides in length. Their secondary structure includes four short double-helical elements and three loops (D, anti-codon, and T loops). Further hydrogen bonds mediate the characteristic L-shaped molecular structure. tRNAs have two regions of fundamental functional importance: the anti-codon, which is responsible for specific mRNA codon recognition, and the 3' end, to which the tRNAs corresponding amino acid is attached (by aminoacyl-tRNA synthetases). tRNAs cope with the degeneracy of the genetic code in two manners: having more than one tRNA (with a specific anti-codon) for a particular amino acid; and 'wobble' base-pairing, i.e. permitting non-standard base-pairing at the 3rd anti-codon position. The record is from RNAcentral. Lineage: Eukaryota; Fungi; Basidiomycota; Ustilaginomycetes; Ustilaginales; Ustilaginaceae.
GGCAAGAUGGCCGAGUGGUCUAAGGCGUAGCAUUAAGGAAGAUAUUCUGAGAAUUCAGAGAAAUCUGCUAUCUUCGGGCGUGGGUUCGAAUCCCACUCUUGUCA